Molecule: ribosomal RNA, 780 nt
Filed under: uncultured Neocallimastigales
Lineage: Eukaryota; Fungi; Neocallimastigomycota; Neocallimastigomycetes; Neocallimastigales
Description: partial large subunit ribosomal RNA
Rfam family: Eukaryotic large subunit ribosomal RNA
Source: RNAcentral
UUAUCUCUGUAGAGUCUGCAUAUCAAUAAGCGGAGGAAAAGAAACUAACUAGGAUUCCCUCAGUAACGGCGAGUGAAGCGGGAAGAGCUCAAAUUUGAAAUCUUCAAGGUUCUACCUUGACGAAUUGUAGUUUAAAGAAGUGUUUUCUGUUGGUAGUUUUGGUAAAAGUUCUUUGGAAUAGGACAUCAUAGAGGGUGAGAAUCCCGUAUAUGACUUAUUAUUUUGUAAGCUUUGUGAUACACUUUCAAAGAGUCGGAUUGUUUGGGAAUGCAGUCCCAAAAUGGGUGGUAAAUUUCAUCUAAAGCUAAAUAUUGGCGAGAGACCGAUAGCGAACAAGUACCGUGAGGGAAAGAUGAAAAGAACUUUGAAAAGAGAGUUAAACAGUACGUGAAAUUGUCAAAAGGGAAGCGUUUGACACCAGUGUUGUUUUCUCGAAAAUCAAUUAAAAAAGGCAGGAUUUUGUGUUGUAUUGACUUUAUCAGCUUUCUGCACUCUUUUCUUGUCUUUUUUAAUGCACUUUUCGUUUAACAAGUCAACAUCAAUUUCUUUUGUUGUAAAAGGGUCAUUGGAAGGUGGCUUUCUUUUCGGAGAAAGUGUUUAUAGCCUUUGGCCUCUGCAAUCGGAGAGAUUGAGGUCUGCAGCGUAGAUCCUUCGGGGUUAGAUACAUUUGUGCUAAGUUAUAGCCUUUCAUAGACAACUUGUUGACUAUGAUCAGUCAUGUAGCUUACUCGCUUAUGCUAUUUUACCUACGCUUAGGAUGUUGACGAUCAGCUGAGCGCG